Molecule: ribosomal RNA, 407 nt
Filed under: uncultured bacterium
Lineage: Bacteria
Description: bacterial SSU rRNA
Rfam family: Bacterial small subunit ribosomal RNA
Source: RNAcentral
AGCGAACGCUGGCGGCGUACUUAACACAUGCAAGUCGAACGAGGAGCUUCGGUGUAGCAAUACAUCGGAGCUUCUAGUGGCGUACGGGUGAGUAACACGUGGGCAGCCUGCCCUUGAGUCCGGGAUACCCUCUCGAAAGGGAGGCUAAUACUGGAUACGUUCUUCGGAUCGCGAGAUCUGGAGAGGAAAGGUGGCGAAAGCUGCCGCUCUUGGAGGGGCNCGCGGCCUAUCAGCUAGUUGGUGAGGUCACGGCUCACCAAGGCUAUGACGGGUAGCUGGUCUGAGAGGACGACCAGCCACACGGGAACUGAGACACGGUCCCGACUCCUACGGGAGGCAGCAGUGGGGAAUUUUCCGCAAUGGGCGAAAGCCUGACGGAGUGACGCCGCGGUGGGGGAGUGAAGGCC